This 450-nucleotide ribosomal RNA is filed under the name uncultured bacterium. RNAcentral's name for it is "bacterial SSU rRNA". It matches the Rfam family "Bacterial small subunit ribosomal RNA", at positions 29 to 507 of the family's 1533-position model. The record is from RNAcentral.
AACGAACGCUGGCGCGUGGAUUAGGCAUGCAAGUCGUACGAUCUAUAUGAGAGUGGCGUAAGGGUGAGUAACACGUGGGCAAUCUACCUUCGACUUGGGAAUAACCUUGCGAAAGCGGGGCUAAUACCGAAUAAUGUAUUUGGGGCACAUGCCUCGAAUAUCAAAGCCUUCGGGCGGUUGAAGAGGAGCCCGCGGCCUAUCAGCUAGUUGGUAGGGUAAUGGCCUACCAAGGCGACGACGGGAAGCUGGUCUGAGAGGAUGGUCAGCCACACUGGGACUGAGACACUGCCCAGACUCCUACGGGAGGCUGCAGUCGAGAAUCUUCUCCAAUGGGCGAAAGCCUGAGAGAGCGACGCCGCGUGAGGGAUGAAGGUCUUCGGAUUGUAAACCUCUGUCACCCCGGAUGAAGAUAUGACAGUACGGGGAGAGGAAGCUCCGGCUAACUACGUG